This 80-nucleotide microRNA precursor is filed under the name Patiria miniata (bat star). RNAcentral's name for it is "mir-2009 microRNA precursor family". It matches the Rfam family "mir-2009 microRNA precursor family". The record is from Rfam by way of RNAcentral. Lineage: Eukaryota; Metazoa; Echinodermata; Asteroidea; Valvatida; Asterinidae.
UCAUGAUUCUCUGGUUUUUGUGGAACAGCUCAUGCACAUUUUAUUCCAUGAGUUGUCCCACAAAGAACACAGAUCAAUGA